CUGAACCUGAAAGAUGAGUAGCGGGCGCUUUCCCAGCGGCCAGGCGCAGCCUUGGCCUUUCCUUUGACUUUAGCACGUUGAUAACAAGCAGAGCGUGCUCAAGGCUGGAGAGGUGAAUUUAUUAUGAAGAAUGAAGGUCAGAUUCCUCUUACGGCUGCUUUGUGCUGUUGAAAAAUACAGUGUGCCUUCUGCUUCAAGAGCACCUAAUUUUGAAAUCCAUCUUGCUGAAGCAAUUGCUAUUAGAGGUGACCCGCAAGAGAGACGAGCCUUCCCUUUUGCCGCUCUGUGAUGGAAUAAAAGACUCGAGCGAUAAAUUAGCUUAGUCUACCUGUUUGCCACAUCAGAAGCUCAAGCCUUCCCUGCAGCAGGAGUGCUCGAGAUCAAGCUAAGCAGCAAGAGGCAGAGCAGCACGGAGCAAGGAGGACAGACAGGCAAAUGUGGGGUUUUGUAACUACACCUUUUUAAAUUUUACUUCUAUUGUUAAAACGUGUUUGACUUAAAUGGCGGUCAUUUGGCACAGAGGAAGUUUAUCCACGUGCUUCCAGCAGCCUUUCACCUAUUAAGGCAGCAAAAGCUCAAUUCAUGUAUUUCUGACCUCCCAAAAGUUCCUCAGUAAAAACAGGAAAGACCAAGCACUGCAGCUUGAAUGCCUGGAAAGGACCCAUCUCCCUGCACAUCUUACAGCAGCAAGAGGUCACCAUUUAAAUGCUUUUUCCAAGAAGCCAUUCAAAAAAUCAGGCUUUUGGAGGGGAAACCGAGGACGUGUGCUGCUGUGUUUGGCGGGGGCAUUUGUUACCAAGAAUAAAACCAGUUUUGAACAAA
Corvus hawaiiensis (hawaiian crow) is the source of this 822-nucleotide long non-coding RNA. RefSeq lists it as uncharacterized. The record is from RefSeq and is a predicted model, not a curated record. Lineage: Eukaryota; Metazoa; Chordata; Aves; Passeriformes; Corvidae. The transcript is spliced from 2 exons.